AUGAAAUCUCUCGACAAUGCCAUGAUCAUCAUCAACGGUCUGAGCUCUUCCAGGAUAUCAAUCAAAUUCGUGAUGAGGAAUACCAUCCUUGCCCUCGAUGAUUUGUGUUAUCAUCGACAACAUUAUUGCCUCCCUUCCGACACAAACUUGAUCUUGUUAUGGAGCUCCUUGCUAUCCAGCUUAUGUUAUGUUCUACCUUGGGUACCACUAUCCUUUAUGUCAAGAAUGUCACGAGAAUUUCACCACCCCUUAAGAAUUCUUGAUACAAGUGAUAUUUAUUACCAUCACCAUUCUUUGCUUGGUCCCCAUGAUGUUUCUAACCGGAAUACCGACAAAUGGUCAGUGAUGUGUAAAUUCAAAACUUCUAGCAACCCUAUUGCUUUAAAACUAAUGUUCGAUAGCUCCAUUCUAAGUCUAUUUCUUAUUGAAUCAUCAUUCGAACAUUGA
RNAcentral lists this ribosomal RNA (447 nucleotides) under Triticum aestivum (bread wheat). Its description in RNAcentral is "partial small subunit ribosomal RNA". Lineage: Eukaryota; Viridiplantae; Streptophyta; Magnoliopsida; Poales; Poaceae. The record is from RNAcentral.